AACGAACGCUGGCGGCGUGCCUAAUACAUGCAAGUUGAGCGCUGAAGGUUGGUACUUGUACCAACUGGAUGAGCAGCGAACGGGUGAGUAACGCGUGGGGAAUCUGCCUUUGAGCGGGGGACAACAUUUGGAAACGAAUGCUAAUACCGCAUAAAAACUUUAAACACAAGUUUUAAGUUUGAAAGAUGCAAUUGCAUCACUCAAAGAUGAUCCCGCGUUGUAUUAGCUAGUUGGUGAGGUAAAGGCUCACCAAGGCGAUGAUACAUAGCCGACCUGAGAGGGUGAUCGGCCACAUUGGGACUGAGACACGGCUCAAACUCCUACGGGAGGCAGCAGUAGGGAAUCUUCGGCAAUGGACGAAAGUCUGACCGAGCAACGCCGCGUGAGUGAAGAAGGUUUUCGGAUCGUAAAACUCUGUUGGUAGAGAAGAACGUUGGUGAGAGUGGAAAGCUCAUCAAGUGACGGUAACUACCCAGAAAGGGACGGCUAACUACGUG
Molecule: ribosomal RNA, 497 nt
Filed under: uncultured bacterium
Lineage: Bacteria
Description: partial 16S ribosomal RNA
Rfam family: Bacterial small subunit ribosomal RNA
Source: RNAcentral